GACGAACGCUGGCGGCGUGCCUAAUACAUGCAAGUCGAGCGAUGAAGCUUGGUGCUUGCACCAAUUUCAAGAGCAGCGAACGGGUGAGUAACGCGUGGGGAAUCUGCCUUUGAGCGGGGGACAACAUUGGGAAACGAAUGCUAAUACCGCAUAACAACUUUAAACAUAAGUUUUAAGUUUGAAAGACGCAAUUGCAUCACUCAAAGAUGAUCCCGCGUUGUAUUAGCUAGUUGGUGAGGUAAAGGCUCACCAAGGCGAUGAUACAUAGCCGACCUGAGAGGGUGGUCGGCCACCUUGGGACUGGGACCCGGCCCAAACUCCUACGGGAGGCAGCAGUAUGGAAACUUCGGGAAUGGACGAAAGUCUGACCGAGCAACGCCGCGGGAGGGAAGAAGGGUUUCGGAUCGUAAAACUCUGUUUGUAGGGAAGAACGUUGGUUAGAGUGGAAAGCUCAUCAAGUGACGGUAACUACCCAGAAAGCGACGGCUAACUACGUG
This 497-nucleotide ribosomal RNA is filed under the name uncultured bacterium. RNAcentral's name for it is "partial 16S ribosomal RNA". It matches the Rfam family "Bacterial small subunit ribosomal RNA", at positions 28 to 507 of the family's 1533-position model. The record is from RNAcentral.